This 24-nucleotide non-coding RNA is filed under the name Rattus norvegicus (Norway rat). Lineage: Eukaryota; Metazoa; Chordata; Mammalia; Rodentia; Muridae. The record is from RNAcentral.
UACAGAAAUCACGUGUCCGGCAGC